RNAcentral lists this ribosomal RNA (451 nucleotides) under uncultured bacterium. Its description in RNAcentral is "partial 16S ribosomal RNA". It matches the Rfam family "Bacterial small subunit ribosomal RNA", at positions 29 to 523 of the family's 1533-position model. The record is from RNAcentral.
AACGAACGCUGGCGGCAGGCUUAACACAUGCAAGUCGAACGGGUGUAGCAAUACAUCAGUGGCAGACGGGUGAGUAACACGUGGGAACCUUCCUAGGGGUACGGAACAACCCAGGGAAACUUGAGCUAAUACCGUAUACGUCCGUGAGGAGAAAGAUUUAUCGCCCUUAGACGGGCCCGCGUCGGAUUAGCUAGUUGGUGGGGUAACGGCCUACCAAGGCGACGAUCUGUAGCUGAUCUUAGAGGAUGAUCAGCCACACUGGGACUGAGACACGGCCCAGACUCCUACGGGAGGCAGCAGUGGGGAAUCUUGGACAAUGGGCGCAAGCCUGAUCCAGCCAUGCCGCGUGAGUGAAGAAGGUCUUCGGAUUGUAAAGCUCUUUUGCCAGGGACGAUAAUGACGGUACCUGGAGAAUAAGCCCCGGCAAACUUCGUGCCAGCCGCCGCCGUAA